This is a small nuclear RNA of Dromiciops gliroides (monito del monte), 105 nucleotides long. Lineage: Eukaryota; Metazoa; Chordata; Mammalia; Microbiotheria; Microbiotheriidae. The record is from RefSeq and is a predicted model, not a curated record.
UUGCUUCAGCAGCACAUAUUCUAAAAAUUGGAAUGAUACAGAGAAGAUUAGCAUGGCCCCUGCACAAGGAUGAUAUGCAAUAUUUGUGAAGGAUAGCAGAAGACC